Long non-coding RNA from Helianthus annuus (common sunflower), 340 nucleotides. RefSeq lists it as uncharacterized. The record is from RefSeq and is a predicted model, not a curated record. NCBI's taxonomy places the organism in Eukaryota, Viridiplantae, Streptophyta, Magnoliopsida, Asterales, Asteraceae. The transcript has 3 exons.
CGAUCAGAAGAAGUAGCCGGGAGAGCUCAAACCCUAGUUCAGCAAAUCCUCCAAAUCGAAGCUCAAAUCAAGCCCGAAUCGUCUGCAUGAUUACAAAUUCGUGAUCGCCUAGUCGUGGGGAUCAUAAGUUGACUCUAAACAAGCUAGGUGGGAGCUUGAAAAGGAACGGGUCAAACGGAUCAUGGAUGCGAAGAAUGUUUGCGCGGACGCGAGGUACAUUUUGGAUGCCGGAAGACGAUCAAGCUCGACGAAGGACCGAACACAAUAUAGAUACAUGCUUCCGCACUUUAACACUUUGCAAAUUUUAAACAACGAAUUCAACCACGUUAUGUAGAAUAAC